UGCCCUGAGCUUUCUGGAAGCUCCUUCGUGC
This 31-nucleotide non-coding RNA is filed under the name Homo sapiens (human). The record is from RNAcentral. Lineage: Eukaryota; Metazoa; Chordata; Mammalia; Primates; Hominidae.